CCUACGGGAGGCAGCAGUGGGGAAUAUUGGACAAUGGGGGCAACCCUGAUCCAGCCAUGCCGCGUGUGUGAAGAAGGCCUUCGGGUUGUAAAGCACUUUAAGUUGGGAGGAAGGUUGGUUGGCUAAUACCCGAUCAAAUUGACGUUACCAACAGAAUAAGCACCGGCUAACUCCGUGCCAGCAGCCGCGGUAAUACGGAGGGUGCAAGCGUUAAUCGGAAUUACUGGGCGUAAAGCGCGCGUAGGCGGCCAUUUAAGCUAGAUGUGAAAUCCCCGGGCUUAACCUGGGAAUUGCAUUUAGAACUGGGUGGCUAGAGUAUGGAAGAGGAGUGUGGAAUUUCCGGUGUAGCGGUGAAAUGCGUAGAGAUCGGAAGGAACAUCAGUGGCGAAGGCGACACUCUGGUCCAAUACUGACGCUGAGGUGCGAAAGCGUGGGGAUCA
This 440-nucleotide ribosomal RNA is filed under the name uncultured bacterium. RNAcentral's name for it is "bacterial SSU rRNA". It matches the Rfam family "Bacterial small subunit ribosomal RNA", at positions 338 to 770 of the family's 1533-position model. The record is from RNAcentral.